CGGACGGGUGAGUAAUGUCUGGGAAACUGCCUGAUGGCGGGGGAUAACUACUGGAAACGGUAGCUAAUACCGCAUAAUGUCUACGGACCAAAGCGGGGGACCUCCGGGCCUCUUGCCAUCGGAUGUGCCCAGAUGGGAUUAGCUAGUAGGUGGGGUAACGGCUCACCUAGGCGACGAUCCCUAGCUGGUCUGAGAGGAUGACCAGCCACACUGGAACUGAGACACGGUCCAG
This 232-nucleotide ribosomal RNA is filed under the name uncultured bacterium. RNAcentral describes it as "partial 16S ribosomal RNA". It matches the Rfam family "Bacterial small subunit ribosomal RNA", at positions 99 to 334 of the family's 1533-position model. The record is from RNAcentral.